RNAcentral lists this ribosomal RNA (34 nucleotides) under Pleurotus tuber-regium. RNAcentral's name for it is "partial 25S ribosomal RNA". The record is from RNAcentral. Lineage: Eukaryota; Fungi; Basidiomycota; Agaricomycetes; Agaricales; Pleurotaceae.
UGACCUCAAAUCAGGUANGACUACCCGCUGAACU